GAAAUAAAGGAAUUUUUCAUUUUGGUCACGUUGCCAUCCAAAUUAUAUGCUGCUUUUUUCUUGUUUGUUUCCUUGACAAUGUAGUCCUAAGUGGAAGAGCAGUCAUGAGUACAAUGUACAUGCAGGAAUUGAUGUAUACAUACACACAUGCGUAUAAAAUAUAUGUGAUGUAUCUAUAUAUGUAUAUUGUGUUCACGGACUUGUUUUUUCUCUAGUCUCCCGUGAACGCUUAGUGAAUCCUAUUGUUAGUUAGUUACCAAACCAUAUUAUUUGUCCGGAUAUCGAGAAACGACUUCCAAGAUUCACCCAAUUGGUUCGAACUAGAACUAGUAACAAAUCUAGUCGUGUUUUUCUUUGUAGAUCUGGUCACACUCCGACAAGUUAGAAUUCUCCACCACUCCAUGCUGCCGUAAAAGAAUAAGAAACCGUAGAAGAUCCGCAAUUAGCUGUUUUUGAGAAGCAAGGAUGGCUUUUUUGCUGGGAUCUAUGUCGGUUUCCAUGGACCAGAUCUGCUUGUGUUAGAGCCCCACAAGAGUCUUCUCCUCUGCUGUUUCAGAUGGAAAGAAGUUUUUCUAGAAAAAGACUGGAUAUCUUUGGUUGCAGUUAUCAGAUGCUUGGUUUAGUUUUGUGUGAUCUUGCUUCAGAUGUUUGGUUUUGUUUCCUGUGAUGUGAUGUGCUAAAAUGAUUCUCUUGUCGAUGGGUUUUGGAAUAAUGCUACCUACUUUAAAUUAUUGGAUUAGUGUGGUGUUACUUUACAUAAUUGCUAAAAAACGGAAGAAAAAAUGUUGUUUAGAUAAGUAGGGGUUAGUAUAGUGGCAAUCAUGAUUAAUUCUCAAAUAAAUCACUGUCGGUGGGUUUUAUUGAUGACAUAAUUAUGUUUAUUGAUGAAGUGAACAUGUUGAUCGAUGCAGGAUGAAGCUGAAGCCAAACCCAUCUGAAACCGAACCAGAGCAAGAAACUAAACAAGAACCAAGCCAAACCGAACCAGAGCAAAAAAAAAGAGGAAACCUUUGUACCGAAGGAAGCUUCAAGCCUGGGCCUGAUGUUAGUUAUGACCAGUGUACGAAAAAAAUAUAGUUUUGAAUCAUUUAUAAUGGUCAAAAGUGUAAUGGUCAUCUUAGUUUUGUGGUUAUCAAUUGUAAUGGUCAUGAACUUGAUUUGUAUAUAGUUUAAAUGUAAUGGUGAUACUAUUUUAUACAGAAUGUUUUAUUUUU
Molecule: long non-coding RNA, 1214 nt
Organism: Eutrema salsugineum
Lineage: Eukaryota; Viridiplantae; Streptophyta; Magnoliopsida; Brassicales; Brassicaceae
Exons: 2
Source: RefSeq, a predicted model, not a curated record